UGGGGAAUAUUGCACAAUGGGCGCAAGCCUGAUGCAGCCAUGCCGCGUGUGUGAAGAAGGCCUUCGGGUUGUAAAGCACUUUCAGCGGGGAGGAAGGCGUUAAGGUUAAUAACCUUGGCGAUUGACGUUACCCGCAGAAGAAGCACCGGCUAACUCCGUGCCAGCAGCCGCGGUAAUACGGAGGGUGCAAGCGUUAAUCGGAAUUACUGGACGUAAAGCGCACGCAGGCGGUCUGUCAAGUCGGAUGUGAAAUCCCCGGGCUCAACCUGGGAACUGCAUUCGAAACUGGCAGGCUAGAGUCUUGUAGAGGGGGGUAGAAUUCCAGGUGUAGCGGUGAAAUGCGUAGAGAUCUGGAGGAAUACCGGUGGCGAAGGCGGCCCCCUGGACAAAGACUGACGCUCAGGUGCGAAAGCGUGGGGAGCAAACAGG
Molecule: ribosomal RNA, 429 nt
Filed under: Chloroflexota bacterium
Lineage: Bacteria; Bacillati; Chloroflexota
Description: Chloroflexi bacterium partial 16S ribosomal RNA
Rfam family: Bacterial small subunit ribosomal RNA
Source: RNAcentral